UACGAGGGGGGCAAGUGUUGUUCGGAAUUACUGGGCGUAAAGCGUGCGCAGGCGGUUUGUUAAGUCCGCUGUGAAAUCCCCGAGCUCAACUUGGGAAUUGCAGUGGAUACUGGCAAGCUGGAGUAUGGUAGAGGAAGGUGGAAUUCCCGGUGUAGCAGUGAAAUGCGUAGAGAUCGGGAGGAACACCAGUGGCGAAGGCGGCCUUCUGGACCAAUACUGACGCUCAUGCACGAAAGCGUGGGGAGCAAACAGG
This 253-nucleotide ribosomal RNA is filed under the name uncultured bacterium. Its description in RNAcentral is "partial 16S ribosomal RNA". It matches the Rfam family "Bacterial small subunit ribosomal RNA", at positions 524 to 776 of the family's 1533-position model. The record is from RNAcentral.